This 436-nucleotide ribosomal RNA is filed under the name uncultured bacterium. RNAcentral's name for it is "bacterial SSU rRNA". It matches the Rfam family "Bacterial small subunit ribosomal RNA", at positions 29 to 507 of the family's 1533-position model. The record is from RNAcentral.
AGCGAACGCUGGCGGCAGGCUUAACACAUGCAAGUCGAACGGGCGUAGCAAUACGUCAGUGGCAGACGGGUGAGUAACGCGUGGGAACGUACCUUUUGGUUCGGAACAACACAGGGAAACUUGUGCUAAUACCGGAUAAGCCCUUACGGGGAAAGAUUUAUCGCCGAAAGAUCGGCCCGCGUCUGAUUAGCUAGUUGGUGAGGUAACGGCUCACCAAGGCGACGAUCAGUAGCUGGGUCUGAGAGGAUGAUCAGCCACAUUGGGACUGAGACACGGCCCAAACUCCUACGGGAGGCAGCAGUGGGGAAUAUUGGACAAUGGGCGCAAGCCUGAUCCAGCCAUGCCGCGUGAGUGAUGAAGGCCCUAGGGUUGUAAAGCUCUUUUGUGCGGGAAGAUAAUGACGGUACCGCAAGAAUAAGCCCCGGCUAACUUCGUG